RNAcentral lists this long non-coding RNA (286 nucleotides) under Eutrema salsugineum. RNAcentral describes it as "long non-coding RNA (ESAL_LNC000644)". The record is from RNAcentral. Lineage: Eukaryota; Viridiplantae; Streptophyta; Magnoliopsida; Brassicales; Brassicaceae.
CGGUGGCGGAGAUGAUUCAGGACACGGCGGUGGACUUGGAGGAGGUGGAGGUGGAGAUGAGUAUACAUAAGGUGGAGGUGGAGGAGAUGAGUAUACGUAAGGCGGAGGUGGAGGAGAUGAGUAUACAUAAGGCGGAGGUGGAGGAGAUGAGUAUACAUAAGGCGGAGGCGGAGGAGAUGAGUAUACGUAAGGCGGAGGUGGAGAUGGUGAUGGUGGUGGUGGUGGAGGGUAAGCUCGAACGGUAGGCGACAUCUUGGAUGUAGGUGGUGGUGGAGAGUAUGAUCUG